UACGGGAGGCAGCAGUUAGGAAUAUUCCGCAAUGGGCGAAAGCCUGACGGAGCGAUGCCACGUGAAGGAUGAAGGUCUAUGGAUUGUAAACUUCUAUGUAUAUGUAGAAAUAUGUAUACUGAAAAAGUCACGACUAACUAUGUGCCAGCAGCCGCGGUAAU
This 161-nucleotide ribosomal RNA is filed under the name uncultured bacterium. Its description in RNAcentral is "partial 16S ribosomal RNA". It matches the Rfam family "Bacterial small subunit ribosomal RNA", at positions 340 to 524 of the family's 1533-position model. The record is from RNAcentral.